Molecule: ribosomal RNA, 432 nt
Filed under: uncultured bacterium
Lineage: Bacteria
Description: partial 16S ribosomal RNA
Rfam family: Bacterial small subunit ribosomal RNA
Source: RNAcentral
AACGAACGCUGGCGGCAUGCUAACCCCUGCAAGUCGAACGAGACCUUCGGGUCUAGUGGCGCCCGGGUGCGUAACGCGUGGGAACCUGCCCUUAGGUUCGGAAUAACUCCCCGAAAGGGGUGCUAAUACCGGAUAAUGUCUUCGGACCAAAGAUUUAUCGCCUUUGGAUGGGCCCGCGUUGGAUUAGCUAGUUGGUAGGGUAAAAGCCUACCAAGGCGACGAUCCAUAGCUGGUCUGAGAGGAUGAUCAGCCACACUGGGACUGCGACACGGCCCAGACUCCCACGGGAGGCAGCAGUGGGGAAUAUUGGACAAUGGGCGAAAGCCUGAACCAGCAAUGCCGCGUGAGUGAUGAAGGCCUUAGGGUUGUAAAGCUCUUUUACCCGGGAUGAUAAUGACAGUACCGGGAGAAUAAGCUCCGGCUAACUCCGUG